AGUGGCGGACGGGCGAGUAACACGUAGGUAACCUGCCCCAAAGCGGGGGAUAACAUUUGGAAACAGAUGCUAAUACCGCAUAACAAUUUGAAUCGCAUGAUUCAAAUUAAAAAGAUGGCUUCGGCUAUCACUUUGGGAUGGACCUGCGGCGCAUUAGCUUGUUGGGAGGGUAACGGCCUACCAAGGCUGUGAUGCGUAACCUAGUUGAGAGACUGAUCGGCCACAAUGGAACUGAGACACGGUCCAUACUCCUACGGGAGGCAGCAGUAAGGAAUCUUCCACAAUGGGCGCAAGCCUGAUGGAGCAACCCCGCGUGAGUGAAGAAGGGCUUCCGCUCGUAAAGCUCUGUUGUUAGAGAAGAACGUGCGUGAGAGCAAUUGUUCACUCACUGACGGUAUCUAACCAGAAAGUCACGGCUAACUACCUGCCACCACCCGCGGUAAUACGUAGGUGGCAAGCGUUAUCCGGAUUUAUUGGGCGUAAAGCGAGCGCAGGCGGUUUGAUAAAUCUGAUGUGAAAGCCUUUGGCUUAACCAAAGAAUUGCAUCGUAUACUGUCAGACUUGAGUGCAGAAGAGGACAGUGGAACUCCAUGUGUAGCGGUGGAAUGCGUAGAUAUAUGGAAGAACACCAGUGGCGAGGGCUGCUGUCUGGUCUGCAACUGACGCUGAGGCUCGAAAGCAUGGGUAGCGAACAGGAUUACAUACCCUGGUAUUCCAUGCAGUAUACGAUGAGUGCUAUGUGU
RNAcentral lists this ribosomal RNA (743 nucleotides) under uncultured bacterium. RNAcentral's name for it is "bacterial SSU rRNA". It matches the Rfam family "Bacterial small subunit ribosomal RNA", at positions 94 to 823 of the family's 1533-position model. The record is from RNAcentral.